AGUAGUUUGAUCAGUGGCUCGAGGACGACGCUGGCGGCGUGCUUAACACAUGCAAGUCGGACGGGGUUCUUUUGAUCAGCUUGCUGAAUGAGAGGACCUAGUGGCAAACGGGUGAGUAACGCGUAGGCAACCUGCCUUUCUGAUGGGGACAACAUCCCGAAAGGGGUGCUAAUACCGAAUGACGUAUGUUUCCCGCAUGGGAAAGAUACCAAAGAUGGCCUCUACUUGUAAGCUAUCGCAGAAAGAUGGGCCUGCGUCUGAUUAGCCAGUUGGCGGGGUAACGGCCCACCAAAGCGACGAUCAGUAGCCGGUCUGAGAGGAUGAACGGCCACAUUGGGACUGAGACACGGCCCAGACUCC
RNAcentral lists this ribosomal RNA (360 nucleotides) under uncultured Veillonellaceae bacterium. RNAcentral's name for it is "bacterial SSU rRNA". It matches the Rfam family "Bacterial small subunit ribosomal RNA", at positions 1 to 339 of the family's 1533-position model. Lineage: Bacteria; Bacillati; Bacillota; Negativicutes; Veillonellales; Veillonellaceae. The record is from RNAcentral.